Molecule: transfer RNA, 72 nt
Filed under: Camelus bactrianus (Bactrian camel)
Lineage: Eukaryota; Metazoa; Chordata; Mammalia; Artiodactyla; Camelidae
Also listed under: 1 other name
Rfam family: tRNA
About the family: Transfer RNA (tRNA) molecules are approximately 80 nucleotides in length.
Source: Rfam by way of RNAcentral
GAGGGUAUAGCUCAGGGGUAGAGUGUGUGCUUAGCAUGCAUGAGGUCCUGGGUUCAAUCCCCAGUACCUCCA